Molecule: ribosomal RNA, 253 nt
Filed under: uncultured bacterium
Lineage: Bacteria
Description: partial 16S ribosomal RNA
Rfam family: Bacterial small subunit ribosomal RNA
Source: RNAcentral
UACGAAGGGGGCUAGCGUUGCUCGGAAUCACUGGGCGUAAAGCGCACGUAGGCGGCUUUCUAAGUCAGGGGUGAAAUCCUGGAGCUCAACUCCAGAACUGCCUUUGAUACUGGAGAGCUUGAGUCCGGAAGAGGUGAGUGGAACUCCGAGUGUAGAGGUGAAAUUCGUAGAUAUUCGGAAGAACACCAAUGGCGAAGGCGGCUCACUGGUCCGGUACUGACGCUGAUGUGCGAAAGCGUGGGGAGCAAACAGG